UCGGACGACGGCUGCGAUUGAUGUUGAGCUUCUCUGCUCCAGUUUUAACUGUAUAUAUUUAUCAAUGGAACCUGGAGUAGUGGAAUGCUAGUAUCAGUCAUUUGUUUUCUGGAAACCGCAUCUGUCACAGAUCCUUUGCUAGUUUGGAGGUUUAAUGGUUUUAAAAUGUUAAACAGUAGUGACUGUGUGUUUUUUUAAUAGAAAAGUGUAUUACAAUAAGGCUUUAAUGAAAACACAGAAUAAACAAAUGCUUGGAAACACCCAAACUAUCAUUGCUAAAUUUGGCUGAAAUAUAAGGCACAGAGUGAUAAUAAAUUAGGAGGUGAUUGGGAGCCACAAGAGCGGGCUCUUUUAAGAGAGCUGAGCCAAAAGAGUCGAAUCUGUGAAAAGAGCCAGACUUGCCAUCACGAUAAAUAGGCUUCCUAAUCUUAGCUAACGCCACUGGAGAUCCUUCCUACCGGUGGCCAUCAGCCUGUACAAUUCCUCCUCCCUCUAUACACCACACAGAGGACAGAGCCACAUGCCGCUCCCAAGCUGCGGGUUGCCUAAUCUUGCACUAGUUGGAGUAGUCAACACAGUCCUUGAACACGGUAGCUGCACUGUCUGUCUGUCAAAGAGUGUUUGUCAGUGUUUGUUGGAAGUUCAGUUUUGGUUUGGUUUGGUGGCGGUUCUGUAAUAUGGAUGCGAUUGGGUAAAAUAGCAAAGUGUCUAUCUACUGUGCUUAGUGAGUGUAAACAUGAACCAUCCUGUCUUAUCAAUGUCUAAAAAGUGGAUUUUUUCUCCUUUGAUGUGUGUCUGACUUAAUAAUCUCAAAAACAUAUACAUACAAACAGGAGAGUUGUAUGUUCCAUCAAGAUGUGGAACUGCUUUACAGAUGUGUUAUAAUAAAAAUAGUAAAAAAAAAAUUGACUGCAGAAAAUCACCAAAGUUGGCCCAUAUGAUUUUCCAAUCAAAGGGCUCAAACAUCUGAGUCAAAGCUGGCAUGGAAUUGGUCCUCUGGUGCCAGAGUAGCUGAUA
Long non-coding RNA from Betta splendens (Siamese fighting fish), 1017 nucleotides. RefSeq lists it as uncharacterized. The transcript has 3 exons. NCBI's taxonomy places the organism in Eukaryota, Metazoa, Chordata, Actinopteri, Anabantiformes, Osphronemidae. The record is from RefSeq and is a predicted model, not a curated record.